GAUGAAGAACGCAGCGAAACGCGAAAGGUAAUGUGAAUUGCAGAAUUCAGUGAAUCAUCGAAUCUUUGAACGCACAUUGCGCCCGCCAGUAUUCUGGCGAGCAUGCCUGUUCGAGCGUCAUUUCAACCAUCAAGCCCCAGGCUUGUGUUGGAGCCCUGCGGCUGCCGCAGCCUCCCAAAACCAGUGGCGGGCUCGCUAUCACACCGAGUGCAGUAGUUUACUCUUCGCUCAGGGCGUGUGGCGGGUGCUAGCCGUGAAACCCCCAACUUCUCAAGGUUGACCUCGGAUCAGGUAGGAAUACCCGCUGAACUUAAGCAUAUCAAUAAGCGGAGGA
RNAcentral lists this unclassified non-coding RNA (334 nucleotides) under soil metagenome. RNAcentral's name for it is "partial contains 5.8S ribosomal RNA, internal transcribed spacer 2, and large subunit ribosomal RNA". The stretch from base 1 to 120 matches the Rfam family "5.8S ribosomal RNA", at positions 35 to 154 of the family's 154-position model. The record is from RNAcentral.